RNAcentral lists this ribosomal RNA (466 nucleotides) under uncultured bacterium. RNAcentral's name for it is "partial 16S ribosomal RNA". It matches the Rfam family "Bacterial small subunit ribosomal RNA", at positions 28 to 507 of the family's 1533-position model. The record is from RNAcentral.
GACGAACGCUGGCGGCGCGCCUAACACAUGCAAGUCGAACGAGCGAGCGAGAGCUUGCUUUCUCAAGCGAGUGGCGAACGGGUGAGUAACGCGUGAGGAACCUGCCUCAAAGAGGGGGACAACAGUUGGAAACGACUGCUAAUACCGCAUAAGCCCACAGGUCGGCAUCGACCAGAGGGAAAAGGAGCAAUCCGCUUUGAGAUGGCCUCGCGUCCGAUUAGCUAGUUGGUGAGGUAACGGCCCACCAAGGCAACGAUCGGUAGCCGGACUGAGAGGUUGAACGGCCACAUUGGGACUGAGACACGGCCCAGACUCCUACGGGAGGCAGCAGUGGGGAAUAUUGCACAAUGGGGGAAAACCUGAUGCAGCGACGCCGCGUGGAGGAAGAAGGUCUUCGGAUUGUAAACUCCUGUUGUUGAGGAAGAUAAUGACGGUACUCAACAAGGAAGUGACGGCUAACUACGUG